Sinocyclocheilus grahami is the source of this 863-nucleotide long non-coding RNA. RefSeq lists it as uncharacterized. The transcript is spliced from 3 exons. NCBI's taxonomy places the organism in Eukaryota, Metazoa, Chordata, Actinopteri, Cypriniformes, Cyprinidae. The record is from RefSeq and is a predicted model, not a curated record.
UUGUCACAAACGUUUUGCAUUUGUCAUGCUGUAUACUUCGCUAUAUCAAACAGUUCAGCUUUUAUAUGUCAUUAACAAUUUUUACUACUUUGUUUUUCGUUCCUAAGGUACUUGAUUUAGCACAUGUGCUCACAAAUCGAGCUCCUCUGUGACUCAUGAGCUUCUGAGUUCCUAAAGGCCUGGUCAACAUGGACAAAAGAGCUGGAGAAGAUGUUGGAAAUGCUGUAUAUUGUUCCACUGAAUGUUGUAUUAUGGAAGCAGACUCCACGGGGAGCAGAGACCCCAUCGAUCAGUUAUUUCCCCACAGCUUUCCUGUUAGUCACAUGCUUUGCUGGGAAAUAAACCUCCAAAUCUCACAAUGCUCCGCUGCUACCUGGCCCGUACAAGUCCUUCUUGUUCUCACAGAAGAAUGCUGUUGUCCCAUCAGAUUAAGCAGAAGAGAAGCGGCAUAGUAGCCUGUCCCGUCCCUCUCUGGCAGCCGGCAGACAAGAUUAUGUAAUGCUGGUCCCUCAAACGAUGUGGCAAUUGCCAAACACAUGGCAUAUGGUCUAUCAAAAGGCUGAUUUUAAGAUUUCCUGUUUAGAUGCACUCGCUCUAAACUUCUCAAGAUGUUGAUGCAAUGAAAAAAAAAAAAAGUGGCUUUCGAACAUUGAUUUUGGUUGAAUCCGCUACCAUAUGGUUUAAUGUGGCUUUCUUCUGGACAGAGGCCAUCCGGGAAAACAUUGGCAUCACUUUUAUCUCACUCUCUCUUUCUUCUUCAAUAACAGCCAACACAUAGCAGCAGAUUAGAGGCCCUCAUAGUCCUCCCAACCCCCGGCACAUAACAAUGGUGUUAGCUGGGGCCAUACAGCUGGUCCGGUCCU